This 408-nucleotide ribosomal RNA is filed under the name uncultured bacterium. RNAcentral's name for it is "partial 16S ribosomal RNA". It matches the Rfam family "Bacterial small subunit ribosomal RNA", at positions 28 to 526 of the family's 1533-position model. The record is from RNAcentral.
GACGAACGCUGGCGGCGUGCUUAACACAUGCAAGUCGAACGGAGUGGCGAACGGGUGAGUAACACGUGGGUGACCUGCCCUGCACUUCGGGAUAAGCCUGGGAAACUGGGUCUAAUACCGGAUAGUGUGGGAUGGGCCCGCGGCCUAUCCGCUUGUUGGUGGGGUAAUGGCCUACCAAGGCGGAGACGGGUAGCCGGCCUGAGAGGGUGGACGGCCAAAUUGGGCCGGAGACACGGCCCAGACUCCUACGGGAGGCAGCAGUGGGGAAUAUGGCACAAGGGGGGGAAGCCUGAUGCGGCGACGCGGGGUGGGGGAUGACGGCCUUCGGGUUGUGAACUCCUUGCACCAGCGACGCGGUAGAUGGAGAAGAAGCACCGGCUGACUACGUGCCAGCAGCCGUGGUAAUUC